This is a long non-coding RNA of Papaver somniferum (opium poppy), 1219 nucleotides long. RefSeq lists it as uncharacterized. The record is from RefSeq and is a predicted model, not a curated record. NCBI's taxonomy places the organism in Eukaryota, Viridiplantae, Streptophyta, Magnoliopsida, Ranunculales, Papaveraceae. The transcript is spliced from 2 exons.
CUUAUUUCUUCUUGCUUUCUCUCUUUUCUUUGUUCUUCGUCUGCGGUUCUUCUGUGAGAGGAUUAUGAGGUUGUGAAGUCGCUAAUCUUAAUAGAAACUCGAGGUGAUGACUGAUGUUGGUGGUGUUCUUAUUCAUUGAUCAUGAAAAGAAGAAGAGACGGUGAUUUGUAGAGAAAACAGAAAAUUAGGGUUUGGUAUGAAAUUGAGAGGUGAAUUGGGUUGUUGUUGGAUGAAGAACAGUGGAUAAAUGUUCAAUUGAGGUUUUGAGGUGGAUUCAGUGAUGAAUCAAUGAAUUAGGGUUGUGUUUUGUUCUUCCCAAAAUUAAGAAUUAGGCUUUCUGAGAUUCAUUGAAGAUGUGAUUUGAGAUGGUUAAGAGAAAUUAACGGAUUGGUUUUUAUGAACAUGAAGUGAAGAGGAAGAUAAUGAGGUUUAUUUACAGAUCCCAUCACUGAGAAGACUUUAAUUUCAAAAUUGAGGUGGUAAUGAAAAUGAUUGUAAUUGGUGGUCUGGUGUUGCAAUGGAAGUCUAGAGGGGGUUGGUAGAUAGGGAUGAGGUCGUUUGUGUAUCUGUGGAUGCAGGUGUAUAUGGAAUUGGAACUAAAUUUGCAGUUGUAGGUUAGGUUUAUGUUUUUUUCUAAAGUGAAGUUGAAUCACAGAGAACAAGGGCUAUAAGAUGCAAGAAUAUGUGUAGGUGAAAUUGAUUAAGGAAAUGUGAAGAUAUUGUUCUAGGUUAGUUACUCAGUAGUGUUGAAAGAUAAUAUAGUUGAUUAUUCUGGUAGUGGAUGUUAGUGAAAUUCUAAAGAUGUUAUGAAAUCAUGCUGAUACAGAGUUGCAGAUGAAAGUGUGGUGAAUCUGGUGGUCAUUAAUGAACUUGAAACGCAAAUGAUUCUAGGAUAGUUUGAAUUGCAAUGAUAUGGAUGGUGAUAGAUAAGUUUUGUGUUGAACUGCAACUUAAGAUAUGGUGACUUAAUCUUAAUGGAUUUGAGUUUAGAUUAAUACAUUGCAUGGAAGAGUCUCUAAAUAAGUAUAAUUGAUUGUGAUAAUUGUAGAAUCAGUGGGUAGUCUCUUUGAGAGCUUGCGGCUACUGCUUCUGCAGGUAAACUGAGUUUAUUGUUGUAAUUGAUUUAUAGAGUACUGUUUUGAUGUAAUGUGUUAUAAUGUUUUUGUAGACAUAGUAUUUGCUUCUGCAAAUGAGCUAUGAAUUAUGCAUCUUAAGUCGA